UCAAUGGCCAGAUCCUGACCAUCAGCACAAAUCAUUUAUAGCCAGGUCUGAGCUCUCCUGCCCUAACCCAAGGCUAGUUUCCAUGAGAUUCAGAUUUUCUAACCACAGCAUUUGCAGAGUAGGAACCUUUGGCUGCUGUUUUGAUUUUUUUUAGUGACCAAUGUCUUUUUACAGAUCCUUCUUUUUUUUUCCCCCCCACUGGUUGGAUCUCAGUCAACAAGGACUGCCUAAUCAAAAGGGCCUGCAAGCAGAAUUGGGUUGUUUCGUGAAGGCUGAGGUCCUUCAGCAGAAAUGUGACAUAGAUAGGAUGCAGUGGAUAGUCCUGUAAUCCUGUAAAUUCUCCUGUACAACAGGAGAAUUUAAAAUUCAAAUGUUCUCUGAAACUCUGAAACCAGAAGGAAACAAAAGGAGAAAUCCAACUACAGAGGAGAGGUGAAACAGGACAGGAAUUCUGUCUCAGCCAUGGGAAAUGUCCUUUCCAAGCACAUGAGGAAGUCUGUUUUGCAGCAGCAGGUUCUCUCCACAUGGAAUCUCUGUACUUUUAUGACAUGUACAGUUGGUUGUAAUGCCAUACUGGGUAUCAUGUAUAACAUCAAAGAGCUAAGUGAGUAUAAAGUGUAUCUGAGAAGUGCCCAUCUCUGA
This 642-nucleotide long non-coding RNA is filed under the name Serinus canaria (Common canary). RNAcentral describes it as "lncRNA (ENSSCAG00000008278.1)". The record is from RNAcentral. Lineage: Eukaryota; Metazoa; Chordata; Aves; Passeriformes; Fringillidae.